AGCCUAAAAAAGACUGUCUUUUCUGGCAAGCCCUUCAUGAGAUAAGAACAUUGUCCUUUUGUUCUGAAUUUGGCUGCACUGCUUUCUCCCUGUUUUUUCUUGCUGGAACUUUGGACUUUUACCUUACCUCUCCAAAGUCAUGGGGCUUUCCAGAUUUUCCAAUUCUUUGUUUGAGAUGCCAAUAAUCUGGACAUCCUCUACCAGUAACACAUUUGGCGAGUCAGCCAGGAGGAGAGACCCUCAAGCUUCAGAUGAUCAUGCAACAAACAUUCCAGCCAGUUCCUGGUGAAGACACCACCCCUGGCCAUCAAGAAACUACCCUGCCUCCACUAGACAGAGAAAGGCAAGAGUUCCAUGAUCCCCAGUAGGUAGGGACUACGCCCCAAGCCAGCAUGAAGCAGUUACAGAAGAAAGAUCCUCAGUCCCUCCACCUCCCAUAAAGAUUUAUAGGAAUUACAUUUCUCAGGGAGAAAAUGAGGCAGGAAAACAUGAUCUGGAGGAAUGGAACAUGAGGCCAAUUCACAUUUCAGCUAUGACAGGAAAUAUUAUCUUUAUUUACAUAGGGCUUACACAAAGUAAACAACGGAAAACUCUAGAGCGUAUUUAACCCCCUCAAAUUCUGUAACAGAACCUUGAGCCCCUAUGCGUGGGCCCACUCCCACACUGCGGAAUAUAUUUCAUUUUCAGUAAAUCUCUGCUGUUGUUGCUUCAUAUUUUUCUUGCUUUGUCUUGUUCUAGUUCAUAUUUUUCUUGCUUUGUCUUGCUUCUAGUUCUCUGUUCCAAUGAGAAGAUGUUUCCUGUUGAGCAGACUUAUGCUAUUUCUAGUAAUAUUAAUUACUUUCAUCCUGUUGUGGGACCUCUCCCAUCCAUGUAUUGUUAUUUCAAUUUUUAUAAUUGUAUUAAUCCAUGUUUGAAUACAUGAUGAAUUUACAUAAAAUGUUAAAGACAUAUAUGAUGUAGAGUUAUCCUCUCAUUUCUCACCUUAACUAUUGAGGUUCAUUCCUGGUAUGACCAGGAUACUAGUCUAUUUUUUACUUUUUCAGAGGGAACUAAGAAGGUACACACAUAUUCAUUAGUUCCUAAAGUAACUGUAGCAUACUUUCUGCAUCUUUUUUUUUU
Long non-coding RNA from Cebus imitator (Panamanian white-faced capuchin), 1119 nucleotides. RefSeq lists it as uncharacterized. The transcript is spliced from 3 exons. The record is from RefSeq and is a predicted model, not a curated record. NCBI's taxonomy places the organism in Eukaryota, Metazoa, Chordata, Mammalia, Primates, Cebidae.